RNAcentral lists this non-coding RNA (77 nucleotides) under chicken gut metagenome. RNAcentral's name for it is "ZMP/ZTP riboswitch". It matches the Rfam family "ZMP/ZTP riboswitch aptamer (pfl RNA motif)", at positions 8 to 82 of the family's 86-position model. From Rfam's summary of the family: Previously known as pfl RNA. ZMP is also known as AICAR. The record is from RNAcentral.
AUCGCAACUGGCGAUGGUGGAGAACCACCGGGGAGCGAUCAAACCAUCUGCCGUACGUGGCCGUCCGCCUGGGCCGC